Molecule: ribosomal RNA, 408 nt
Filed under: uncultured Peptoclostridium sp.
Lineage: Bacteria; Bacillati; Bacillota; Clostridia; Peptostreptococcales; Peptoclostridiaceae
Description: bacterial SSU rRNA
Rfam family: Bacterial small subunit ribosomal RNA
Source: RNAcentral
GAGUGCCAGCAGCCGCGGUAAUACGUAGGGGGCAAGCGUUAUCCGGAAUUACUGGGCGUAAAGGGUGCGUAGGCGGCUAGUUAAGUCGAGGUUAAAAGGCAGUAGCUCAACUACUGUUGGGCCUUGAAGCUAAUUAGCUUGAGUAUAGGAGAGGAAAGUGGAAUUCCCGGUGUAGCGGUGAAAUGCGUAGAUAUCGGGAGGAAUACCGGUGGCGAAGGCGACUUUCUGGACUAUAACUGACGCUGAGGCACGAAAGCGUGGGUAGCAAACAGGAUUAGAUACCCUGGUAGUCCACGCCGUAAACGAUGAACACUAGGUGUCGGGAGGAAUUUCGGUGCCGGCGCAAACGCAAUAAGUGUUCCGCCUGGGGAGUACGUUCGCAAGAAUAAAACUCAAAGAAAUUGACGG